AAAAAUCCGCCAGAAUAAUGCUAGGGUACGAUGCGGAGCGAAAUUUAGUAGCGAAGUAGCUGAUUUCACACUGUCGAGAAAAGUCUCUAUCGAGGUUAAAGGUGCCUGUACCGCAAACCGACACAGGUGGGUGAGGAGAGUAUCCUAAGGCCAGCCAGAGAACUGUUGUUAAGGAACUCGGCAAAAUGACCCCGUAACUUAGGGAGAAGGGGUGCCUUCGAAAGAAGGCCGCAGAGAAUAGGCCCAAGCGACUGUUUACCAAAAACACAGGUUUCUGCUAAGUCGCAAGACGAUGUAUAGGAGCUGACGCCUGCCCGGUGCUGGAAGGUUAAGGGGAUCUGUUAGGGUAACCGAAGCAGUGAACUUAAGCCCCAGUAAACGUCGGCCGUAACAAUAACGGUCCUAAGGUAGCGAAAUUCCUUGUCGGGUAAGUUCCGACCCGCACGAAAGGCGUAACGAUUUGGGCACUGUCUCAACAACAGACUGGGUGAAAUUGUAAUACCGGUGAAGAUGCCGGUUACCUGCGACAGGACGGAAAGACCCCAAGGAGCUUUACUGUAGCUUGACAUUGAGUCUCGGUGCUACAUGUACAGGAUAGGUGGGAGGCUAUGAAGCAUGGACGUCAGUUUGUGUGGAGCCAUCCUUGGGAUACCACCCUUGUAGUACUGGGAUUCUAACCAGCUGCCUUGAAUCAGGUAGUGGGACACUGUCAGGUGGACAGUUUGACUGGGGCGGUCGCCUCCUAAAGAGUAACGGAGGCGCUCAAAGGUUCUCUCAGUACGGUCGGAAAUCGUACGUAGAGUGUAAAGGCAGAAGAGAGCUUGAUUGCAAGACAUACAGGUCGAGCAAGGACGAAAGUCGGACUUAGUGAUCCGGUGGUACCGCAUGGAAGGGCCAUCGCUCAACGGAUAAAAGCUACCCUGGGGAUAACAGGCUGAUCUCCCCCAAGAGUCCACAUCGACGGGGAGGUUUGGCACCUCGAUGUCGGCUCAUCACAUCCUGGGGCUGUAGUAGGUCCCAAGGGUUGGGCUGUUCGCCCAUUAAAGUGGUACGCGAGCUGGGUUCAGAACGUCGUGAGACAGUUCGGUCCCUAUCCGUCGCAGGCGUAGGAAAUUUGAGGAGACCUGUCCUUAGUACGAGAGGACCGGGAUGGACGUACCGCUGGUGUACCAGUUGUUCUGCCAAGGGCAUAGCUGGGUAGCUAAGUACGGAAAGGAUAAGCGCUGAAAGCAUCUAAGCGCGAAGCCUACUUCGAGAUAAGAUUUCCCACCGCAAGGUUAAGACCCCAUGAAGACUACAUGGUUGAUAGGUCAGAGGUGGAAGUGUGGUAACAUAUGUAGCUUACUGAUACUAAUAGGUCGAGGACUUGACC
RNAcentral lists this ribosomal RNA (1372 nucleotides) under metagenome. Its description in RNAcentral is "bacterial LSU rRNA". It matches the Rfam family "Bacterial large subunit ribosomal RNA", at positions 1536 to 2925 of the family's 2925-position model. The record is from RNAcentral.